RNAcentral lists this transfer RNA (91 nucleotides) under Didymella glomerata. RNAcentral describes it as "Peyronellaea glomerata tRNA". It matches the Rfam family "tRNA". From Rfam's summary of the family: Transfer RNA (tRNA) molecules are approximately 80 nucleotides in length. Lineage: Eukaryota; Fungi; Ascomycota; Dothideomycetes; Pleosporales; Didymellaceae. The record is from Rfam by way of RNAcentral.
GGCCUAAUGGCCCAAUGGCAAGGCGCUUGACUACGAUGACCGCGAGUCGAUCGAUAUCAAGAGAUUCCAGGUUCGACCCCUGGUUAGGUCA